RNAcentral lists this ribosomal RNA (496 nucleotides) under uncultured bacterium. RNAcentral's name for it is "partial 16S ribosomal RNA". It matches the Rfam family "Bacterial small subunit ribosomal RNA", at positions 29 to 507 of the family's 1533-position model. The record is from RNAcentral.
AUGCACGCUGGCGGCGUGCCUAAUACAUGCAAGUCGAGCGAACAGACGAGGAGCUUGCUCCUCUGACGUUAGCGGCGGACGGGUGAGUAACACGUGGAUAACCUACCUAUAAGACUGGGAUAACUUCGGGAAACCGGAGCUAAUACCGGAUAAUAUAUUGAACCGCAUGGUUCAAUAGUGAAAGACGGUUUUGCUGUCACUUAUAGAUGGAUCCGCGCCGCAUUAGCUAGUUGGUAAGGUAACGGCUUACCAAGGCAACGAUGCGUAGCCGACCUGAGAGGGUGAUCGGCCACACUGGAACUGAGACACGGUCCAGACUCCUACGGGAGGCAGCAGUAGGGAAUCUUCCGCAAUGGGCGAAAGCCUGACGGAGCAACGCCGCGUGAGUGAUGAAGGUCUUCGGGUCGUAAAACUCUGUUAUUAGGGAAGAACAAAUGUGUAAGUAACUAUGCACGUCUUGACGGUACCUAAUCAGAAAGCCACGGCUAACUACGUG